GCGCCCGUGAUGUAACGGGAGCCUGCCGCCUGGCCAUGGCGGAAGUGCGGGUUCGAUCCCCGCCGGGCGCU
RNAcentral lists this transfer RNA (71 nucleotides) under Planctomycetales bacterium 71-10. Its description in RNAcentral is "tRNA-Gly". It matches the Rfam family "tRNA". From Rfam's summary of the family: Transfer RNA (tRNA) molecules are approximately 80 nucleotides in length. The record is from RNAcentral. Lineage: Bacteria; Pseudomonadati; Planctomycetota; Planctomycetia; Planctomycetales.